AUUGAACGCUGGCGGCAUGCUUUACACAUGCAAGUCGAACGGUAACAGGUUAAGCUGACGAGUGGCGAACGGGUGAGUAAUGCAUCGGAACGUGCCCGGUCGUGGGGGAUAACGCAGCGAAAGCUGCGCUAAUACCGCAUACGAUCUGAGGAUGAAAGCGGGGGACCGUAAGGCCUCGCGCGAUCGGAGCGGCCGAUGUCAGAUUAGGUAGUUGGUGGGGUAAAGGCUCACCAAGCCAACGAUCUGUAGCUGGUCUGAGAGAACGACCAGCCACACUGGGACUGAGACACGGCCCAGACUCCUACGGGAGGCAGCAGUGGGGAAUUUUGGACAAGGGGCGAAAGCCUGAUCCAGCAAUGCCGCGUGCAGGAAGAAGGCCUUCGGGUUGUAAACUGCUUUUGUACGGAGCGAAAAGGUCUCCUCUAAUACAGGGGGCUCAUGACGGUACCGUAAGAAUAAGCUCCGGCUAACUUCGUGCCAGCCGCCGCCGUAA
RNAcentral lists this ribosomal RNA (493 nucleotides) under uncultured bacterium. RNAcentral's name for it is "partial 16S ribosomal RNA". It matches the Rfam family "Bacterial small subunit ribosomal RNA", at positions 30 to 523 of the family's 1533-position model. The record is from RNAcentral.